GAUGAAGAACGCAGCGAAAUGCGAUAAGUAAUGUGAAUUGCAGAAUUCAGUGAAUCAUCGAAUCUUUGAACGCACAUUGCGCCCGCCAGUAUUCUGGCGGGCAUGCCUGUCCGAGCGUCAUUUCAACCCUCGAACCCCUCCGGGGGGUCGGCGUUGGGGAUCGGCCCUUUACGGGGCCGGCCCCGAAAUACAGUGGCGGUCUCGCCGCAGCCUCUCCUGCGCAGUAGUUUGCACACUCGCAUCGGGAGCGCGGCGCGUCCACAGCCGUUAAACACCCCAAACUUCUGAAAUGUCGACCUCGGAUCAGGUAGGAAUACCCGCUGAACUUAAGCAUAUCAAUAAGCGGAGGA
RNAcentral lists this unclassified non-coding RNA (350 nucleotides) under soil metagenome. RNAcentral describes it as "partial contains 5.8S ribosomal RNA, internal transcribed spacer 2, and large subunit ribosomal RNA". The stretch from base 1 to 120 matches the Rfam family "5.8S ribosomal RNA", at positions 35 to 154 of the family's 154-position model. The record is from RNAcentral.